GCUACAAAAAUAAAGUAAUAGUCUUUCAAAUCUAAUCUAAAUUCUGACUGUAAUCGAAGAGGAUAAGUAUCAAUGGCUUCUGCAGUAAUUUUUACUCUAUUGUCGAUCCGAAAGAUUAUGUCAUCUUUCCUCAACCUCUUACUUUCUAUUAGAUCCUGUAUUAAAAUACAUAUAUGAACACUCAAACCAAAGUUCAAUAUCCAA
RNAcentral lists this long non-coding RNA (204 nucleotides) under Elaeis guineensis (African oil palm). RNAcentral describes it as "long non-coding RNA (EGUI_LNC045427)". Lineage: Eukaryota; Viridiplantae; Streptophyta; Magnoliopsida; Arecales; Arecaceae. The record is from RNAcentral.